Molecule: long non-coding RNA, 798 nt
Organism: Oncorhynchus tshawytscha (Chinook salmon)
Lineage: Eukaryota; Metazoa; Chordata; Actinopteri; Salmoniformes; Salmonidae
Exons: 3
Source: RefSeq, a predicted model, not a curated record
GAGAGGAAUAACGUCGUGGGAGAGACACAUAUUUUUGGUAAAAAACACCCUGAAUAUGUUUAUAACUACAAAUGAACUUUCUUCUGUCGAUUUUCUUUUUUUUAUGUCACAAUUCCAACCCUCUUCCUUUAUCCGGGCUUGGGACUGGCAAAAGUGACCCAAAAGAGACACUCUGGCGAAGUUACUUUGUGGGUGUUUUUUGUUUUUAAGUUGAGUUUUUUACAUUUACAUCCCGCCCUGAUUGUAAGCCAGGGCGGCUUCAUUUGCAGUCUGGACGCGGAGGGGUGAACGUCUCCUGCUCUGACUGCAGCUGGGAGGGACUGCUGCGCGAGGACUAGGCCGCCUGAAUGACAGAUGAAGGUCUCUCAGUGUUGGGAUCCUGUUGCAGUCUUCCAGUCUUACAGGCCCUGCAGAUCCUGGUGCAGCAUUUGGCAGCAGGGAGUGGGGAGACCAUCUCUCUGAGAGAUGCAGGUCUGGCUGUUCUGACUGAGGAGGAGCUGUAUCAGGAGUCUCUUUGGUUACACUGAAGAGAGAGGAGGACACACUGAGGACAGAGAUGAAGGACCAGCCUGGAUACCUUCCUCUAGUCAUGAGUAUCACUGUGAAAGGCCUGGCCUCUUUAGUGUAAGGAGGGAGGGAGAGGGAGAGAGAGAGACCAUGCAACUUGUAAAUCCCAUUUGAACUGAUACACUCAGUAUUCCAUUCCAUGUCUUACUCUUGCACUAGUUGAGCCACAGAACUAGUGAUCAACAGAGUAUGUAUCCUUGUAAUGUUUUCAGUAAAGUUCAACAAACGACA